CCCGGGCCUUGUACACACCGCCCGUCACACCAUGGGAGUGGGUUGCAAAAGAAGUAGGUAGCUUAACCUUCGGGAGGGCGCUUACCACUUUGUGAUUCAUGACUGGGGUGAAGUCGUAACAAGGUAAUCGUAGGGGAACCUGCGGUUGGAUCACCUCCUUA
This 161-nucleotide ribosomal RNA is filed under the name Escherichia coli. RNAcentral describes it as "partial 16S ribosomal RNA". It matches the Rfam family "Bacterial small subunit ribosomal RNA", at positions 1373 to 1533 of the family's 1533-position model. Lineage: Bacteria; Pseudomonadati; Pseudomonadota; Gammaproteobacteria; Enterobacterales; Enterobacteriaceae. The record is from RNAcentral.